Micromonospora carbonacea is the source of this 66-nucleotide regulatory RNA element. It matches the Rfam family "L31-Actinobacteria ribosomal protein leader". Lineage: Bacteria; Bacillati; Actinomycetota; Actinomycetes; Micromonosporales; Micromonosporaceae. The record is from Rfam.
CCGGUUCCGGUUCACGCCCGAUCCCGACACGCGACGCGUCGGGGCCGCACGGGCGACCCGGCGACC